GAACGCGAAGAACCUUACCCGGGCUUGAACUAAGAGUGACAGAUUUAGAGAUAGAUCUUUCUUCGGACACUCUUGGAGGUGCUGCAUGGUUGUCGUCAGCUCGUGCCGUGAGGUGUCGGCUUAAGUGCCAUAACGAGCGCAACCCUUUUCCUUGGUUGCCAUCAGGUAAUGCUGGGCACUCCAGGGAUACUGCCAUCGUAAGAUGUGAGGAAGGUGGGGAUGACGUCAAAUCAGCACGGCCCUUACGUCCGGGGCUACACACGUGUUACAAUGGGGGGUACAGAAGGUCGCUACCUGGUGACAGGAUGCUAAUCUCAAAAACCUCUCUCAGUUCGGAUUGGAGUCUGCAACCCGACUCCAUGAAGCUGGAUUCGCUAGUAAUCGCGCAUCAGCCAUGGCGCGGUGAAUACGUUCCCGGGUCUUGUACACACC
RNAcentral lists this ribosomal RNA (432 nucleotides) under uncultured bacterium. RNAcentral describes it as "bacterial SSU rRNA". It matches the Rfam family "Bacterial small subunit ribosomal RNA", at positions 957 to 1391 of the family's 1533-position model. The record is from RNAcentral.